UAGCUAGUUGGUGAGGUAAUGGCCCACCAAGGCAACGAUCGGUAGCCGGACUGAGAGGUUGAACGGCCACAUUGGGACUGAGACACGGCCCAGACUCCUACGGGAGGCAGCAGUGGGGAAUAUUACACAAUGGGGGAAACCCUGAUGCAGCGACGCCGCGUGGAGGAAGAAGGUCUUCGGAUUGUAAACUCCUGUUGUUGAGGAAGAUAAUGACGGUACUCAACAAGGAAGUGACGGCUAACUACGUGCCAGCAGCCGCGGUAAAACGUAGGUCACAAGCGUUGUCCGGAAUUACUGGGUGUAAAGGGAGCGCAGGCGGGAAGACAAGUUGGAAGUGAAAUCUAUGGGCUCAACCCAUAAACUGCUUUCAAAACUGUUUUUCUUGAGUAGUGCAGAGGUAGGCGGAAUUCCCGGUGUAGCGGUGGAAUGCGUAGAUAUCGGGAGGAACACCAGUGGCGAAGGCGGCCUACUGGGCACCAACUGACGCUGAGGCUCGAAAGUGUGGGUAGCAAACAGGAUUAGAUACCCUGGUAGUCCACACCGUAAACGAUGAUUACUAGGUGUUGGAGGAUUGACCCCUUCAGUGCCGCAGUUAACACAAUAAGUAAUCCACCUGGGGAGUACGACCGCAAGGUUGAAACUCAAAGGAAUUGACGGGGGCCCGCACAAGCAGUGGAGUAUGUGGUUUAAUUCGACGCAACGCGAAGAACCUUACCAAGUCUUGACAUCCUGCGACGAUGCUGGAAACAGUAUUUUCCUUCGGGACGCAGAGACAGGUGGUGCAUGGUUGUCGUCAGCUCGUGUCGUGAGAUGUUGGGUUAAGUCCCGCAACGAGCGCAACCCUUACUGUCAGUUACUACGCAAGAGGACUCUGGCAGGACUGCCGUUGACAAAACGGAGGAAGGUGGGGAUGACGUCAAAUCAUCAUGCCCUUUAUGACUUGGGCUACACACGUACUACAAUGGCGUUAAACAAAGAGAAGCAAGACCGCGAGGUGGAGCAAAACUCAGAAACAACGUCCCAGUUCGGACUGCAGGCUGCAACUCGCCUGCACGAAGUCGGAAUUGCUAGUAAUCGUGGAUCAGCAUGCCACGGUGAAUACGUUCCCGGGCCUUGUACACACCGCCCGUCACACCAUGAGAGCCGGGGGGACCCGAAGUCGGUAGUCUAACCGCAAGGAGGACGCCGCCGAAGGUAAAACUGGUGAUUGGGGUGAAGUCGUAACAAGGUAA
This 1232-nucleotide ribosomal RNA is filed under the name metagenome. RNAcentral describes it as "bacterial SSU rRNA". It matches the Rfam family "Bacterial small subunit ribosomal RNA", at positions 242 to 1499 of the family's 1533-position model. The record is from RNAcentral.